Non-coding RNA from Chelonoidis abingdonii (Abingdon island giant tortoise), 156 nucleotides. Lineage: Eukaryota; Metazoa; Chordata; Testudines; Testudinidae. The record is from RefSeq and is a predicted model, not a curated record.
UCAAUUUGGAAUGAUAUAGUCCAAAGGAAAAUAUUCUUUCUACACCAGCAGAAGAAGCUACUUCUGUUAAGAGUGAGAUUAUCACUUUAACAGUCUCUGAAUGCAAGUGCUUAAGUGACUUCCACCAUUUCACUGAAUUUUGGCUGAAGACAGGCA